CUCUUGUUUCUAUAUUUCAAAACACUUCUUAACAGCUUAUAAAUAAUACUAAAUAUGCGAAGGUAUGUUACAUAGGAUAUGACGAUGAUGAUGAUGAGGGAGAGGAAGAGGAAGAGAGAGAGGGAGAGGAAGGGGAGGCAUGAGU
This 145-nucleotide non-coding RNA is filed under the name uncultured Mallomonas. Lineage: Eukaryota; Synurophyceae; Synurales; Mallomonadaceae. The record is from RNAcentral.